GACGAACGCUGGCGGCGUGCUUAACACAUGCAAGUCGAACGGAAAGGCCCUGCUUUUGUGGGGUGCUCGAGUGGCGAACGGGUGAGUAACACGUGAGUAACCUGCCCUUGACUUUGGGAUAACUUCAGGAAACUGGGGCUAAUACCGGAUAGGAGCUCCUGCUGCAUGGUGGGGGUUGGAAAGUUUCGGCGGUUGGGGAUGGACUCGCGGCUUAUCAGCUUGUUGGUGGGGUAGUGGCUUACCAAGGCUUUGACGGGUAGCCGGCCUGAGAGGGUGACCGGCCAAAUGGGGACUGGGAUGCGGCCCAGGCUCCUACGGGGGGCAGGAGGGGGGAAUAUUGCAAAAGGGGCGGAAGCCUGAGGCGGCAACCCCGGGGGGGGGAGGACGGCCUUCGGGUUGAAACCCGCUUUCGCCUGGAACGAAGGGGGGGGGACGGUAAUGGGAAAAAAAGCACCGGCUAACUACGG
RNAcentral lists this ribosomal RNA (467 nucleotides) under uncultured bacterium. RNAcentral's name for it is "partial 16S ribosomal RNA". It matches the Rfam family "Bacterial small subunit ribosomal RNA", at positions 28 to 506 of the family's 1533-position model. The record is from RNAcentral.